GGGAAUAUUGGUAAUGGGCGCAAGCCUGAACCAGCAACGCCGCGUGUGCGAUGAAGGCCUUCGGGUUGUAAAGCACUUUUGACCGGGACGAGGAAGGACGGUACCGGUGGAAUAAGCCUCGGCUAACUACGUGCCAGCAGCCGCGGUAAAACGUAGGAGGCGAGCGUUAUCCGGAUUUACUGGGUGUAAAGCGCGUGCAGGCGGUUAGAUAAGUUGGGUGUGAAAGCUCCUGGCUCAACUGGGAAAGGUCGCUCAAGACUGGCUGACUCGAGGAUGGUAGGGGAGGGUGGAAUUCCGGGUGUAGUGGUGAGAUGCGUAGAUAUGCGGAGGAACAGCAGUGGCGAAGGCGGCCUUCUGGACCAUCACUGACGCUCAGACGCGAAAGCUAGGGUAGCAAACGG
This 401-nucleotide ribosomal RNA is filed under the name uncultured bacterium. Its description in RNAcentral is "bacterial SSU rRNA". It matches the Rfam family "Bacterial small subunit ribosomal RNA", at positions 357 to 775 of the family's 1533-position model. The record is from RNAcentral.